GUACACUCCUACGGGAGGCAGCAGUGGGGAAUAUUGCACAAUGGGCGCAAGCCUGAUGCAGCCAUGCCGCGUGUAUGAAGAAGGCCUUCGGGUUGUAAAGUACUUUCAGCGGGGAGGAAGGCAAUACGGUUAAUAACCGUGUUGAUUGACGUUACCCGCAGAAGAAGCACCGGCUAACUCCGUGCCAGCAGCCGCGGUAAUACGGAGGGUGCAAGCGUUAAUCGGAAUUACUGGGCGUAAAGCGCACGCAGGCGGUCUGUCAAGUCGGAUGUGAAAUCCCCGGGCUCAACCUGGGAACUGCAUUCGAAACUGGCAGGCUUGAGUCUUGUAGAGGGGGGUAGAAUUCCAGGUGUAGCGGUGAAAUGCGUAGAGAUCUGGAGGAAUACCGGUGGCGAAGGCGGCCCCCUGGACAAAGACUGACGCUCAGGUGCGAAAGCGUGGGGAGCAAACAGGAUUAGAAACCCGAGUAGUCCCAUGA
RNAcentral lists this ribosomal RNA (478 nucleotides) under uncultured organism. RNAcentral describes it as "partial 16S ribosomal RNA". It matches the Rfam family "Bacterial small subunit ribosomal RNA", at positions 331 to 800 of the family's 1533-position model. The record is from RNAcentral.